GCCGAAGUGGUGGAAUUGGUAGACACGCAUGCUUGAGGGGCAUGUGGGGUAAUCCCCGUGCCGGUUCGAGUCCGGCCUUCGGUACUA
Molecule: transfer RNA, 87 nt
Filed under: bacterium TMED264
Lineage: Bacteria
Description: tRNA-Leu
Rfam family: tRNA
About the family: Transfer RNA (tRNA) molecules are approximately 80 nucleotides in length.
Source: RNAcentral